RNAcentral lists this ribosomal RNA (373 nucleotides) under uncultured organism. RNAcentral's name for it is "partial 16S ribosomal RNA". It matches the Rfam family "Bacterial small subunit ribosomal RNA", at positions 527 to 896 of the family's 1533-position model. The record is from RNAcentral.
GUAGGUGGCAAGCGUUGUCCGGAAUUAUUGGGCGUAAAGCGCGCGCAGGGCGGUUCUUUAAGUCUGAUGUGAAAGCCCACGGCUCAACCGUGGAGGGUCAUUGGAAACUGGAGAACUUGAGUACAGAAGGGGAAAGCGGAAUUCCACGUGUAGCGGUGAAAUGCGUAGAGAUGUGGAGGAACACCAGUGGCGAAGGCGGCUUUCUGGUCUGUAACUGACGCUGAGGCGCGAAAGCGUGGGGAGCAAACAGGAUUAGAUACCCUGGUAGUCCACGCCGUAAACGAUGAGUGCUAAGUGUUAGGGGGUUUCCGCCCCUUAGUGCUGCAGCUAACGCAUUAAGCACUCCGCCUGGGGAGUACGGCCGCAAAGGCUG